Musa acuminata AAA Group (dessert banana) is the source of this 503-nucleotide long non-coding RNA. RefSeq lists it as uncharacterized. Lineage: Eukaryota; Viridiplantae; Streptophyta; Magnoliopsida; Zingiberales; Musaceae. The record is from RefSeq and is a predicted model, not a curated record. The transcript is spliced from 3 exons.
GCCGUCUUUCGCGUCACACGGCGUCGGGGGAGGGGAAGGGGCGAGGGAAGGCGUCGGAAGUACCGCAUAGAUGAGGGCGAAGGAAAAGCUUUGGUAAGUGUAUCUGCCUCAAACACCAGAACAAACAAGAGUUCUGUCCAUUCCCUAAAAGGUUAUUCUACUUUGGAAUUUGACUCCGAUCCAGCAAGAACGACAUGGCUUGUACAUUCAUUAAGUUCUAAUGGAAGAAGAAGCGAAUGAGGAGGCUCAAGAGGAAACGCCGAAAGAUGCGGCAGAGAUCAAAGUAGGUAGCCAGGGUUGAACUGCAUCCAUCACAUCUCAGUUAUGAAGGUGGCCGAUUUAGAUUAAGUUCUCGACAUGAUGGUGGGGUGUAUCAUUGGAAGCUAACUCUUUUCCUGAUGAUGCCGUCUGAUCUUUAUGAUUCUGCUUUGUCUGCAAUGAUUUUGUUUGAAGACAAUAUUUCCAAUUUAAUCGAAUGCCUUUGAUAUCUUUUAUUGGUUUUA